CCUAGGGGUGGCAGCAGUGAGGAAUAUUGGUCAAUGGGCGUAAGCCUGAACCAGCCAAGUCGCGUGAGGGAUGAAGGUUCUAUGGAUCGUAAACCUCUUUUAUAAGGGAAUAAAGUGUGGGACGUGCCCUAUUUUGUAUGUACCUUAUGAUUAAGGAUCGGCUAACUCCGUGCCAGCAGCAGCGGUAAUACGGAGGAUCCGAGCGUUAUCCGGAUUUAUUGGGUUUAAAGGGUGCGUAGGCGGCCUUUUAAGUCAGCGGUGAAAGUCUGGGGUUAAACCAUAGAAUUGCCGUUGAAACUGGGGGGCUUGAGUAUGUUUGAGGCAGGCGGAAUGCGUGGUGUAGCGGUGAAAUGCUUAGAUAUCACGCAGAACCCCGAUUGCGAAGGCAGCCUGCCAAGCCAUGACUGACGCUGAUGCACGAAAGCGUGGGGAUCAAACAGGAUUAGAUACCCGGGUAGU
RNAcentral lists this ribosomal RNA (459 nucleotides) under uncultured bacterium. RNAcentral's name for it is "partial 16S ribosomal RNA". It matches the Rfam family "Bacterial small subunit ribosomal RNA", at positions 338 to 794 of the family's 1533-position model. The record is from RNAcentral.